RNAcentral lists this long non-coding RNA (466 nucleotides) under Mus caroli (Ryukyu mouse). RNAcentral describes it as "lncRNA (MGP_CAROLIEiJ_G0034428.1)". The record is from RNAcentral. Lineage: Eukaryota; Metazoa; Chordata; Mammalia; Rodentia; Muridae.
UAGUUGCUUGAAUAAGAACUGUCAGCCUGGAAGAAGGGGCAGCUUAAUGGAAGUCAGCAACUGGCUUCUUCCACUUCUCCUGUUUAGUGUUGUGGAAGCAUUAGGAGCAGACUGAAGGCUCUGAGCUAUUCUGAGCUCAGAAAUUAGUUUCGUACUACAAGAGAAAUUUGGCAGAGAAGUCUGCAUCACCAUAGUGAUAGCACCAGUUAAACUUGUGUGUGUUUCAGAUGCAAAUCCUAGUGAGAUGGGAGUACCUUAUGUUUGCAAGUUUUCAAACUUAACAUUAAGAGUUAAUGUUGAGAAGCUAACAAGUUGUUAUGAGUGCUGUUGAGAGUGAAGACAUUACACAAGUAUAGGAGAGUAUCAAUUGAGGGAUCUGAGCAUCUUUAUUCAUAAUAGCCAGAAACUGGAAACAACAUUGCUUGAAUAAAGAUUGGAUAAAGAAAAUAUGGUACAUUUACACAAU